This 195-nucleotide non-coding RNA is filed under the name Bacteroidota bacterium. The record is from RNAcentral. Lineage: Bacteria; Pseudomonadati; Bacteroidota.
AUUACUCAACCGGCUAAAGGUUCUUUCGGAUAAAGAGAGAUUAAAAGGGAAUCACGUGUAAAUCGUGAGCUGUUGCGCAACUGUAAGUAACGCAAAAAUUUCUGCACAGUAUUUUUACCACUGUUCACACCAGUGAAUGGGAAGGUCAGCAGAAAUGUUACAAGCCAGGAGACCUGCCAUUGCCCCGCUGUAUUA